AGCCUGAUCCAGCCAUGCCGCGUGCAGGAUGAAGGCCCUCGGGUUGUAAACUGCUUUUGUACGGAACGAAAAGCCUCUCUCGAAUAAAGAGGGGUGAUGACGGUACCGUAAGAAUAAGCACCGGCUAACUACGUGCCAGCAGCCGCGGUAAUA
Molecule: ribosomal RNA, 153 nt
Filed under: uncultured Diaphorobacter sp.
Lineage: Bacteria; Pseudomonadati; Pseudomonadota; Betaproteobacteria; Burkholderiales; Comamonadaceae
Description: partial 16S ribosomal RNA
Rfam family: Bacterial small subunit ribosomal RNA
Source: RNAcentral